CAUCACUACGCUAGAUGCAUAUCAAUAAGCGGAGGAAAAGAAACUAACAAGGAUUCCCCUAGUAACGGCGAGGUGAAGCGGGAAGAGCUCAAAUUUGAAAUCUUAAAGGGUUUCCCUUUACGAAUUGUAGUUUAAAGAAGUGUUUUCUGUUGGAGUUUCGGUAAAAGUUCUUUGGAAUAGGACAUCAUAGAGGGUGAGAAUCCCGUAUUUGACCGUUACUUUCCAGCUGUGUGAUACACUUUCAAAGAGUCGGAUUGUUUGGGAAUGCAGUCCAAAAUGGGUGGUAAAUUUCAUCUAAAGCUAAAUAUUGGCGAGAGACCGAUAGCGAACAAGUACCGUGAGGGAAAGAUGAAAAGAACUUUGAAAAGAGAGUUAAACAGUACGUGAAAUCGUCAAAAGGGAAGCGUUUGACACCAGUGUUGUUUAGUUGAAAAUCAAUUCAAUAAUUUCUUGAUUCUAAGUAGUAUUGACUUCAUCAGCUUGCUGCUUUCUUCUCAGAAAUUAUUGAAUGCACUUUUCAGUUAACAAGUCAACAUCAAUUUCUUUUGUUGUAAAAGGGUAAGAGGAAGGUGGCUUGCGCUUCGGCUCAAGUGUUUAUAGCCUUUUAUCUCUGCAAUCGGAGAGAUUGAGGUCUGCAGCGUAGAUCCUUCGGGGUUAGAUACAUUGGUGCUAAGCUAUAGCCUUGUAUAGACAACUUGUUGACUAUGCUCAGUCAUGUAGCUUACUCGCUGAUGCUAUUUUACCUACGCUUAGGAUGUUGACACACGCGCGUGCUCG
RNAcentral lists this ribosomal RNA (777 nucleotides) under uncultured Neocallimastigales. Its description in RNAcentral is "partial large subunit ribosomal RNA". It matches the Rfam family "Eukaryotic large subunit ribosomal RNA", at positions 24 to 643 of the family's 3401-position model. Lineage: Eukaryota; Fungi; Neocallimastigomycota; Neocallimastigomycetes; Neocallimastigales. The record is from RNAcentral.